UGGGGAAUAUUGCACAAUGGGCGCAAGCCUGAUGCAGCCAUGCCGCGUGUAUGAAGAAGGCCUUCGGGUUGUAAAGUACUUUCAGCGGGGAGGAAGGUGUUGAGGUUAAUAACCUCAGCAAUUGACGUUACCCGCAGAAGAAGCACCGGCUAACUCCGUGCCAGCAGCCGCGGUAAUACGGAGGGUGCAAGCGUUAAUCGGAAUUACUGGGCGUAAAGCGCACGCAGGCGGUCUGUCAAGUCGGAUGUGAAAUCCCCGGGCUCAACCGGGGAACUGCAUUCGAAACUGGCAGGCUAGAGUCUUGUAGAGGGGGGUAGAAUUCCAGGUGUAGCGGUGAAAUGCGUAGAGAUCUGGAGGAAUACCGGUGGCGAAGGCGGCCCCCUGGACAAAGACUGACGCUCAGGUGCGAAAGCGUGGGGAGCAAACA
This 427-nucleotide ribosomal RNA is filed under the name uncultured bacterium. RNAcentral's name for it is "partial 16S ribosomal RNA". It matches the Rfam family "Bacterial small subunit ribosomal RNA", at positions 355 to 774 of the family's 1533-position model. The record is from RNAcentral.